UAAUACGUACUGUGCGAACGUUAUUCGGAAUCACUGGGCUUAAAGGGUGCGUAGGCGGUCGUUUAAGUAGGGUGUGAAAUCCCCCGGCUCAACCGGGGAACUGCGCUCUAAACUGGGCGACUCGAGUAAGAUAGGGGUGUGCGGAACUUCCGGUGGAGCGGUGAAAUGUGUUGAUAUCGGAAGGAACACCAGUAGCGAAGGCGGCACACUGGGUCUUAACUGACGCUGAGGCACGAAAGCUAGGGUAGCGAACGGGAUUAGAUACCCCGGUAGUCCGCGCAGUAAACGAUGAAUGUUAGUCGUCGGGUUGCAAGUCAAUUCGGUGAUGCAGUUAACACAUUAAACAUUCCGCCUGGGGAGUACGGUCGCAAGGCUA
RNAcentral lists this ribosomal RNA (376 nucleotides) under uncultured Planctomycetia bacterium. Its description in RNAcentral is "bacterial SSU rRNA". It matches the Rfam family "Bacterial small subunit ribosomal RNA", at positions 521 to 896 of the family's 1533-position model. Lineage: Bacteria; Pseudomonadati; Planctomycetota; Planctomycetia. The record is from RNAcentral.